GAGCGGAUGAAGGGAGUUGCUCCUGGAUUCAGCGGCGGACGGGUGAGUAAUGCCUAGGAAUCUGCCUGGUAGUGGGGGAUAACGUCCGGAAACGGGCGCUAAUACCGCAUACGUCCUGAGGGAGAAAGUGGGGGAUCUUCGGACCACACGCUAUCAGAUGAGCCUUGGUCGGAUUAGCUAGUUGGUGGGGUAAAGGCUUACCAAGGC
Molecule: ribosomal RNA, 207 nt
Filed under: uncultured Pseudomonas sp.
Lineage: Bacteria; Pseudomonadati; Pseudomonadota; Gammaproteobacteria; Pseudomonadales; Pseudomonadaceae
Description: partial 16S ribosomal RNA
Rfam family: Bacterial small subunit ribosomal RNA
Source: RNAcentral